RNAcentral lists this ribosomal RNA (497 nucleotides) under uncultured bacterium. RNAcentral describes it as "partial 16S ribosomal RNA". It matches the Rfam family "Bacterial small subunit ribosomal RNA", at positions 28 to 507 of the family's 1533-position model. The record is from RNAcentral.
GAUGAACGCUCGCGGCGUGCCUAAUACAUGCAAGUCGAGCGAACAGACGAGGAGCUUGCUCCUCUGACGUUAGCGGCGGACGGGUGAGUAACACGUGGAUAACCUACCUAUAAGACUGGGAUAACUUCGGGAAACCGGAGCUAAUACCGGAUAAUAUAUUGAACCGCAUGGUUCAAUAGUGAAAGACGGUUUUGCUGUCACUUAUAGAUGGAUCCGCGCCGCAUUAGCUAGUUGGUAAGGUAACGGCUUACCAAGGCAACGAUGCGUAGCCGACCUGAGAGGGUGAUCGGCCACACUGGAACUGAGACACGGUCCAGACUCCUACGGGAGGCAGCAGUAGGGAAUCUUCCGCAAUGGGCGAAAGCCUGACGGAGCAACGCCGCGUGAGUGAUGAAGGUCUUCGGAUCGUAAAACUCUGUUAUUAGGGAAGAACAAAUGUGUAAGUAACUAUGCACGUCUUGACGGUACCUAAUCAGAAAGCCACGGCUAACUACGUG